CGCUGUUUACCUUGGCUGCCCGCGUGGCAGUUUUACAGAUAUUAAAUACCGACCCGGGGGUGAGCGGGGCUCCUCGCUACGUGCGCUCGCCGGGGGCCGGCCGGGCAUCCCAACCCGGACGCCCACGCCACGGGAUCCUUAUGCUGGGCUAAAAAAGCCAUCUUGCACUUUGCAAGGCUCUGCUGACUGCUGCCUAAAAUGACACACGGGGCUCCUCCUGCCCUUUCCCCCACCUCGUCCCACCUACCGAAAGGGCGAAGGAAAGGCGUGAGCAGGGAGCCCUCUUCUGAGGAAGGAGCCUCAGCCUGCAGCUUCCCAACCACUGACCACCUGCGGUGUGCCCUGGGGACCAGCCUGGAUGCUCCUCCUCGUGGUCAGUGUCCAGGGACACCUCCUGGCCUUGCCUUGUGCCACAGUAGGUGCCAUGGGGUUGGACUUCAGACCCCCUGCUCCUGGUCCCUUCUCUCCAGCGGUGCGGGGAAGAACUGCUCCAUCUGCAGCACAGGGCAGUGA
This 513-nucleotide long non-coding RNA is filed under the name Fukomys damarensis (Damara mole-rat). RNAcentral describes it as "lncRNA (ENSFDAG00000030644.1)". Lineage: Eukaryota; Metazoa; Chordata; Mammalia; Rodentia; Bathyergidae. The record is from RNAcentral.